GAUGAAGAACGUAGUGAAAUGCGAUAAGUAAUGUGAAUUGCAGAAUUCAGUGAAUCAUCGAAUCUUUGAACGCACAUUGCGCCCGCCAGUAUUCUGGCGGGCAUGCCUGUUCGAGCGUCAUUACAACCCUCAGGCCCCCGGGCCUGGCGUUGGGGAUCGGCGGAAGCCCCCUGCGGGCACAACGCCGUCCCCCAAAUACAGUGGCGGUCCCGCCGCAGCUUCCAUUGCGUAGUAGCUAACACCUCGCAACUGGAGAGCGGCGCGGCCACGCCGUAAAACACCCAUCUUCUGAAUGUUGACCUCGAAUCAGGUAGGAAUACCCGCUGAACUUAAGCAUAUCAAUAAGCGGAGGA
Molecule: unclassified non-coding RNA, 353 nt
Filed under: soil metagenome
Description: partial contains 5.8S ribosomal RNA, internal transcribed spacer 2, and large subunit ribosomal RNA
Rfam family: 5.8S ribosomal RNA (bases 1-120)
Source: RNAcentral